UCCCGCCUCCUGCCAUCCUGAGGGUCGGGGGCAGAGGGAAGUGUCUCCUGGUGGGCAGGGAGACCUACCAGUGUGCCUUGCCAGCCCAGGACUGCCCCCUCCCAGCCCCGUCAGAGUCCUGGGCCUGAGAAGCUCUGUCUCCCACGGGAGGCAGUGGCCUCGCCCUUUCUCUGCCUCCAGCACCCAGGGCCGCUGCAGAUGGCAGUGUCUCUGGGGACAGCAGCUACGACUGAGUCCACAGGCCGACAUUGAGCUGCUCAGGCCGAGGCGGUGCGCUCAGCACAGAGCCCCUGGAACAGGCAUCUGCAGGUCGUGAGCUGAGGCCGCCGCGAUGCCGCACUUCCUGGACUGGUUCGUGCCCGUGUACCUGGUCAUCUCCGUGCUCAUCCUGGUGGGCUUCGGCGCCUGCAUCUACUACUUCGAGCCUGGCCUGCAGGAGGCGCACAAGUGGCGCAUGCAGCGCCCCCUGGUGGACCGUGACCUCCGCAAGACCCUGAUGGUCCGCGACAACUUGGCCUUCGGAGGCCCAGAGGUCUGAGCUGACCGGCGCCAGGCACCGGGCGCCCUCCCCCGCCUCGCCCAGCCUGGAGACCCUGAGGCAGAGAGAGGACAACGUCUGCUCCUCCGGGCCACCCCUCUGGAGCUGGGCCCUCCCGGCAGAAGCUUCUGGGUGCCCCGGGUGGACACUGGCUGCACCUGCUGAGAUAGGGGCACCUGGGUAUCUUGAGGUGUCACUGCUGCUGGCCCGGGGCUUGCUUUCCACCUCAAGCCAGUUCUCUCCACACCUGCCCACCCCAGCUCUGGGUUUAUCCCCCGCUGGCCUCCAGUGCCUUUGUGCUGCCCAGCACUCUCGCCCCUCGCCUGGAGUCAGGCACCGCUGCCCCUGCCUGUCCUAAGUGUCUAGAUUCCCACUUCCCCACUGAAUCCCCGGUGACACUCAACAGCCCGCUCCACCCGAGGAGGCAACCUCCCUGCAGCCUCACAUGGCAGGCUUCAAAGCUGACCCAAGGGAAAGGCCCUAUUUGGAGGGGUGUCUGCUCCUUCCAGUUCAGCCCCACCCCUCUGGACUCAGACUUGGCAAUGGUGAGAGUGUGUGACGGGGUGUGCAGAGGGGUGAGACCACAGAGGACGGAGGGGUGUGUGUGUGUGUGUAUGUGUAAGAGGGAGAGCGGGGGCCCCAAGCAGGGCGGGAGGUGGCGGGGACAGGGCGAGCCUGUGAUAGGCUGCCCACAGCGGUUCUCACCUCCCUCCCUGUGCCAGGCUUCCCUACUCUCUCCUUCCCCAAGGCCCCUGCCCUGUACUGCAGCCCCCAGCACCAUCCCCCUGCCCUCCCAACCCCACCAGGGAGCCCUCCUCCUUUGUGGAACACUGUUGCCUCAUUUGGGAUGUCGAGUAGCAGCCUGUCUCACUCUCCUCCUCUGGGGCUUCCCUCUUAGUUUCUUGCAAUAAUAAAGACUUCAUGACUAUUUCUGCA
Molecule: long non-coding RNA, 1474 nt
Organism: Herpailurus yagouaroundi (jaguarundi)
Lineage: Eukaryota; Metazoa; Chordata; Mammalia; Carnivora; Felidae
Exons: 3
Source: RefSeq, a predicted model, not a curated record